Peromyscus leucopus (white-footed mouse) is the source of this 1642-nucleotide long non-coding RNA. RefSeq lists it as uncharacterized. The record is from RefSeq and is a predicted model, not a curated record. The transcript is spliced from 2 exons. NCBI's taxonomy places the organism in Eukaryota, Metazoa, Chordata, Mammalia, Rodentia, Cricetidae.
GGUCAGCUCGUCCGACCGCGCGAACCUCCAGUCGCAGCCUUCCCAGGUGCACUUGUAGGGCUUCUCGCCUGUGACAAGGAAGAGACAAGUGCUGGAGUCACAGAAAGGAUUUUAACGCUGGUGGUGACUUUAACUGUCCGGCUCAGAGACGUCAAUCAAACAGAAGAAAGAACUUCACACAGAAAUGUCUAGUGAAAACAAAUCACAGUAACAAACACGGCUUUCCUGUCAUUCCUGGGGGAGAGGUCUAAUUCUGAUGUUUAAAUCAAGGGAAAAAAAAACUUCCUCGGGAGUCUCAGUUUAAGAAGGAUCAUUCAAGCCUUUUGAAUUUAAUAAUUACAUACAGAGAACUAAGUUUUCAAGUUUGCUUUAGAAGCAGGGGGACACUGGACUCUUUUUGUUCACUGUUUUUAUUGGCUGCAAAGCAAUAAACUGCACCAAUAUUUUGUAAAGUUGACUUUAGUGAUUGGUUGACAUACAGUAGCCAUUAAAGUUCCUAAAACAUUUGAGGUUUUGCUCUCAAUUUAUGGGCAUCUACAGCCUAUUCAGCCAAGAAUACUACCAGUGUCUGGAAGGGCAGUUACCAGGGCCAAGACUUCCUAUAAAGCAAGGACAACUACCCCCCACUCGGAGUUGUUUCUAUGGGAUUUGUUCAAGUGUCAACACUGUUCAAGUGAAACAUCGCAGAGGAAGCUGGUACCCCAUUUCUGGCCUGGAAGCAGACUUAAGCCUUUCUUCCUCGGCCAGAAACACUACGGUCAGUACUUCUGGGAAAGCAAACUGACUUCCUCCAAGUUAUAUUUCAACAGGAUAGAGCUUUCAAAAGUAAUUGGAUUUUUAAAGAACCCCCGUCCAAUACCACCAAUUUGAAAUACUUAGUUAAGCUCUUUCAACAUCCACUGUAUUUCCAAGUCCUCCUGCUGCUAGCGUCAAACUAUGGAAAGGCAAAGUGAAAACAGUGGCCGGUUGUGUGGCGUGGAAGCCCUCCGCCUUAUCUCACAGUGUGCAUUUUCUUCUCCUCUCCCUUAAAGCUAUAGGGAUGGCUGAAGAACCCCUAAUCUCUGGGAAAUAUGUCCAAGUUAAACACGCAUAUGCCUCAUGCUGAUAAAGCUAUUAGCAGGCUGGCUAACAGCUCCAGCUUCUAGAAACACCUCAGAGCAAGAGACAAGGCUUGACGGCGCCUCCAGAAGUCUGCUCAAGAGCCAGGUAAUUCUUCUCUCCUUCCACUCUCAGACAACUCCAGAAGUUAGCAGCUGACCCAUCGGCUCCACACUAAGAGUCCUGGACGGCCACUUUCUUUAAUGUCCCACUUAAAUCUUCCAUUAGCAAACACUAUUACACUCUUUCCAAGAUGCAAGGGAUGGAUACAUACAUAUUGUUCAAAGCUACUCAGAUUCUACAGUCUCUCGUGAAGAGAACAGGACAGCUAACAGACUCACAAAAGGCCUUAAAACCUAGACUGUAUGAGGUCAGGGCCUCAUCUUUUAGGGGACCCUGGAAGCUGUUCAGUACUAGCACUGGCCAUCUCCAGAAGUAACCUUAACGAGGUUCCUUCCGCUGGGUUCAAUAAUGCUUGUAUCGCCAACUAUUCAAAAAACACUCUCAAUAAAAAACAUUCUCUCUUCUUCUCUGAUGAUAUCAA